Molecule: long non-coding RNA, 1147 nt
Organism: Camelus dromedarius (Arabian camel)
Lineage: Eukaryota; Metazoa; Chordata; Mammalia; Artiodactyla; Camelidae
Exons: 4
Source: RefSeq, a predicted model, not a curated record
GCGGUACUUGCUGCUGGGGCUGGCGGCUUGCUCGCCUGGGCGACUAGUUCUGGCCUGGUCAGUCGGCGGCCGACAUCCUGUCUGGGGCGGCGUCCCACAGAUGAGGCCUUCCUCCUGAAGACCCUGCUGAAAAUGGAGGAGUCGGUGCUGGUGAUACCCCCUCGGGGCCGCCUCUACCAUUGGCAGAGCCUGGACAUCCACCAGGUCCAGAUUCCCUGGUCUGACUUUUUUGAUCUCUCAAGUCUCAACAGAAACAUCCCUGACACUGAAUACGAACAGUUCAUUGCAGCAGGUGAGGCCGGGACCUGCAGGACUGAGGGGAGAGCCAGGCUGUCUGCAUCCAGACCUGGGGCACUUGGAGUGUGAAGAAGCCCCGUCCUCACUGCCCCUGAAGUGAGGAAAACACCCUCAGUGUCACCCGGAGGAAUUCAGGAGGUGUUUAGACCCAGUGGAGACUAACGGCAUCUUGGUUCCUCAUCAACCUGGCAAACCCACCAGCCCUCUAUGGCCAGACCUUGGCAAGUGCCUUCCCUUGUUCUAACAAAACCCUUUCCACCCACGCCUGUGGUAUGCUUUUAUUUUUUUUAAUUAGUGGGAAUGAAGAUACCUUACAGCCUCCUCAGACCUUUCCUUGGGGCUUCUGCCCUUAGACCCCUGCAAGGGGGCCGUCUGCCCUGGGUCCUGCACUACAGAGGGUCCCUCUGGCCCUGACACUUCCUCUGGCCAUGCCCUCCAUGGGGUGGAGUCAGCAGGGCCAAGGGGACACGGUCAUUGGCUCCGCCCCGUGCUCUAGAAACCCAGGACCCCAAAUGCCCUGUCUCAGCAGCCCCUGACCCAUUUCUAGUGCCUGCAUCAGCUCUCCCCGGAGUUCAGAUUCCUAGGACUCACAGAGAGGCCAAAGCAUAGCUGUUUGCAUGGAGGGUAUGAGCAGAGCCCGGACAUGAGGUCUGAGUGUCCCCCUGUGCACAUCCAAGGCCCCUUGUGGCAAGGGAUGGACCCAGCAUUGGGAAGAAAAGGGUCAGGCUAGUAAUCAGAGACUGGGAAUCGUCUCUCCCCACAUGCUCACUUUCUUUGCUGGACUCCCCUGUGUCUGGGAAUUCUAAAUUUGAGCCUGGCCUUCCCCCUUAUAAUGAAUGUAUAUUUGUAA